Molecule: long non-coding RNA, 1628 nt
Organism: Myzus persicae (green peach aphid)
Lineage: Eukaryota; Metazoa; Arthropoda; Insecta; Hemiptera; Aphididae
Exons: 3
Source: RefSeq, a predicted model, not a curated record
GUUUCGGUCACGUUUAAAUUAUUAUUGCAGUUCGAUGGAAAUCCUAUAACGAACCGCACAGUACACGUAGACGCCACAACAACAGCAACAACCGCCGUACCGCCCGCUCGCCAUCGUUCGGCCAACAAACCGCUAUGGCGGAGACGAACGGCACACACACAUAAAACAUGAUGUUUAUAUUAUAAUAUUACAGUGUAUUAUUUUUGGAGCCUGGCGUGGCACGGUGGUUGGCCGCAGUCGCUAACGAGUUCUGAAGUCAAGCGUCUGCCGCUAGCUCCCGGAUGGGUGACCGCCCGGGUUUUCAGCGACGGAUCGUCGCCCUGUAUACACGUAUUCCGAACCAACCAUACUCCCCACAGCGAAAACAGUGAAAUUCGUCUGCACAUGGUUCCUUAAGCCGACGACAUUCGCCGCCACGUCCAUCGUCGGUGUAGCUGCUUAAACACAAAAUACGAUGUUCGAUAAUUGGAGAUUGGUGUGGAGUGGUGGUCGGCCGAAGUCACUAUAAUGUAUUGUUGCAGUCAAGCAUAAUCGUCCAGCGUUACCAUCUCCCAGAUGGGUGACCAGUGACCACCUGGGUUUUCAAUGAUUGAUCCUCGCAUCACCUAUGCGUGUUACUGAGCCAACCGUAAACCCCUUUAAAAAUUAUAAUGAGUUAUGACCAUAGUUGCUUAAGAUGAAUAAUAAUUUAAAAAAAUAUGUUAACAUUCGAUGAUCAGGCAAUUUAUUGAAUUCGGUUUUCAGACUACACACAUCACGGAAUCACGAGUACAACUUUAGUUUUGCGAGUAUUUGUUGUGAUAAGAACAAUAAUAAUAUAUGUAAAUUACUAUGUUGAAUUCAAUAGCCGCGGACUUUGCGCUCUGCUGUGACUAUGUCUAUAAACAGUAAAUACCAACCCACCGUAUAUUAUUGUGUAUAAUAUCGUCAUAUUGUAUUAUAUUAUUGUUGGUGUAUAGUGUUAACAGGGAGGAGGCUAGAGAGGGUGCGGUCGUAAUUAAAUUCUCUCGAGCAAUGCAACGUAGGUAGUUGUUUACGACAAUAAUAAUAUAUUAUAUGUAUUAUAUUAUUACAGCGAUUCACAGAGCAGAGAUUUUCUAGAGUUAUAUAUAUAUAUAUAUAUAUAGUAUUAAGCGAGAGUAUAUUGUUGUUAUUAUUAUUAUUAUUAUUAUGGUUUGUAAAAUCAUAUCAGCUCCUGAGUUCCCAUUACAGCCGUUCUCCCGAGUGCCAACCCCGUUCUUAAUCCGAAUACUAUAAUAUAAUAAUAGGAUUUGAUGAGCUUCAUUAUUGUCGUAUAAACAUAAUAAUAUUAUAUAAGUUUAUGUAUCAUGUAUUCAUGUGUACCCGACGUCGUUCGCCCAGAAUAUCAUGUGGGCCCGGAUCCUCUUACUGGCAAGUGUAAACCCACAUCGAAGAAUUGCUAGUUUUGAGUACCUAAUAAUGAUCAAAUAACUUAAAUAUUAAAUAUUUAUUCAUUUGGAUUUUAUCUUUGUCACAAUAUUAUUACCAAACAUAUAGACAUAUAAUAUUUGAUAGCAUUUUAUGUAUGAAAACGUUGCAUAAUCUGUAAUUGUCGAUGUUAUACCUAACAAUGAUCUCAAUUAUUAAAUUUGAAAAUUUAUUUUUUU